UUCUGUGAUGAUAAACGCUAUAGGAAGUGCCGUCUGAUGCGAGAACUGACGAUGGCAAAGCAAAAUGAUUCUGAGA
Misgurnus anguillicaudatus (oriental weatherfish) is the source of this 76-nucleotide small nucleolar RNA. RefSeq annotates it as small nucleolar RNA SNORD49. The record is from RefSeq and is a predicted model, not a curated record. Lineage: Eukaryota; Metazoa; Chordata; Actinopteri; Cypriniformes; Cobitidae.